AUGGCUCAGGAUGAACGCUGGCGGCGUGCUUAACACAUGCAAGUCGAACGGAGUUUUUAACGGAAGUUUCGGAUGGAAGUUUAGAACUUAGUGGCGGACGGGUGAGUAACGCGCGGGUAACCUGCCUCAUACAGGGGGAUAACAGUUAGAAAUGACUGCUAACACCGCAUAAUAUAGCGAAACCGCAUGAUUUUUGCUAUCAAAUAUUUAUAGGUAUGAGAUGGGCCCGCGUCUGAUUAGCUAGUUGGUGGGGUAAAAGCCUACCAAGGCGACGAUCAGUAGCCGGCUUGAGAGAGUGACCGGCCACAUUGGGACUGAGACACGGCCCAAACUCCUACGGGAGGCAGCAGUGGGGAAUAUUGGACAAUGGGGGGAAACCCUGGUCCAGCGACGCCCGCGUGAGUGAAGAAGUAUUUCGGUAUGUAAAGCUCUAUCAGCAGGGAAGAUAAUGACAGUACCUGACUAAGAAGCCCCGGCUAACUACGUGCCAGCAGCUGC
Molecule: ribosomal RNA, 498 nt
Filed under: uncultured bacterium
Lineage: Bacteria
Description: bacterial SSU rRNA
Rfam family: Bacterial small subunit ribosomal RNA
Source: RNAcentral